Molecule: ribosomal RNA, 274 nt
Filed under: uncultured bacterium
Lineage: Bacteria
Description: partial 16S ribosomal RNA
Rfam family: Bacterial small subunit ribosomal RNA
Source: RNAcentral
AUACAGAGGGUGCAAGCGUUAUUCGGAAUUACUGGGCGUAAAGCGCGCGUAGGCGGAUGAUUAAGUCAGUUGUGAAAGCCCUGUGCUCAACCUAGGAACUGCAUCUGAUACUGGUCGUCUAGAGUUUAAGAGAGGGAAGUGGAAUUCCAGGUGUAGCAGUGAAAUGCGUAGAUAUCUGGAGGAACAUCAGUGGCGAAGGCGACUUCCUGGCUUAAAACUGACGCUGAGGUGCGAAAGCGUGGGUAGCGAACGGGAUUAGAAACCCUAGUAGUCC